UUAAGCGACUAAGCGUACACGGUGGAUGCCCUGGCAGUCAGAGGCGAUGAAGGACGUGCUAAUCUGCGAUAAGCGUCGGUAAGGUGAUAUGAACCGUUAUAACCGGCGAUUUCCGAAUGGGGAAACCCAGUGUGAUUCGACACACUAUCAUUAACUGAAUCCAUAGGUUAAUGAGGCGAACCGGGGGAACUGAAACAUCUAAGUACCCCGAGGAAAAGAAAUCAACCGAGAUUCCCCCAGUAGCGGCGAGCGAACGGGGAGCAGCCCAGAGCCUGAAUCAGUAUGUGUGUUAGUGGAAGCGUCUGGAAAGGCGCGCGAUACAGGGUGACAGCCCCGUACACAAAAAUGCACAUGCUGUGAGCUCGAUGAGUAGGGCGGGACACGUGGUAUCCUGUCUGAAUAUGGGGGGACCAUCCUCCAAGGCUAAAUACUCCUGACUGACCGAUAGUGAACCAGUACCGUGAGGGAAAGGCGAAAAGAACCCCGGCGAGGGGAGUGAAAAAGAACCUGAAACCGUGUACGUACAAGCAGUGGGAGCACGCUUAGGCGUGUGACUGCGUACCUUUUGUAUAAUGGGUCAGCGACUUAUAUUCUGUAGCAAGGUUAACCGAAUAGGGGAGCCGAAGGGAAACCGAGUCUUAACUGGGCGUUAAGUUGCAGGGUAUAGACCCGAAACCCGGUGAUCUAGCCAUGGGCAGGUUGAAGGUUGGGUAACACUAACUGGAGGACCGAACCGACUAAUGUUGAAAAAUUAGCGGAUGACUUGUGGCUGGGGGUGAAAGGCCAAUCAAACCGGGAGAUAGCUGGUUCUCCCCGAAAGCUAUUUAGGUAGCGCCUCGUGAAUUCAUCUCCGGGGGUAGAGCACUGUUUCGGCAAGGGGGUCAUCCCGACUUACCAACCCGAUGCAAACUGCGAAUACCGGAGAAUGUUAUCACGGGAGACACACGGCGGGUGCUAACGUCCGUCGUGAAGAGGGAAACAACCCAGACCGCCAGCUAAGGUCCCAAAGUCAUGGUUAAGUGGGAAACGAUGUGGGAAGGCCCAGACAGCCAGGAUGUUGGCUUAGAAGCAGCCAUCAUUUAAAGAAAGCGUAAUAGCUCACUGGUCGAGUCGGCCUGCGCGGAAGAUGUAACGGGGCUAAACCAUGCACCGAAGCUGCGGCAGCGACGCUGAUGCGUUGUUGGGUAGGGGAGCGUUCUGUAAGCCUGCGAAGGUGUGCUGUGAGGCAUGCUGGAGGUAUCAGAAGUGCGAAUGCUGACAUAAGUAACGAUAAAGCGGGUGAAAAGCCCGCUCGCCGGAAGACCAAGGGUUCCUGUCCAACGUUAAUCGGGGCAGGGUGAGUCGACCCCUAAGGCGAGGCCGAAAGGCGUAGUCGAUGGGAAACAGGUUAAUAUUCCUGUACUUGGUGUUACUGCGAAGGGGGGACGGAGAAGGCUAUGUUGGCCGGGCGACGGUUGUCCCGGUUUAAGCGUGUAGGCUGGUUUUCCAGGCAAAUCCGGAAAAUCAAGGCUGAGGCGUGAUGACGAGGCACUACGGUGCUGAAGCAACAAAUGCCCUGCUUCCAGGAAAAGCCUCUAAGCAUCAGGUAACAUCAAAUCGUACCCCAAACCGACACAGGUGGUCAGGUAGAGAAUACCAAGGCGCUUGAGAGAACUCGGGUGAAGGAACUAGGCAAAAUGGUGCCGUAACUUCGGGAGAAGGCACGCUGAUAUGUAGGUGAAGCGACUUGCUCGUGGAGCUGAAAUCAGUCGAAGAUACCAGCUGGCUGCAACUGUUUAUUAAAAACACAGCACUGUGCAAACACGAAAGUGGACGUAUACGGUGUGACGCCUGCCCGGUGCCGGAAGGUUAAUUGAUGGGGUCAGCGCAAGCGAAGCUCUUGAUCGAAGCCCCGGUAAACGGCGGCCGUAACUAUAACGGUCCUAAGGUAGCGAAAUUCCUUGUCGGGUAAGUUCCGACCUGCACGAAUGGCGUAAUGAUGGCCAGGCUGUCUCCACCCGAGACUCAGUGAAAUUGAACUCGCUGUGAAGAUGCAGUGUACCCGCGGCAAGACGGAAAGACCCCGUGAACCUUUACUAUAGCUUGACACUGAACAUUGAGCCUUGAUGUGUAGGAUAGGUGGGAGGCUUUGAAGUGUGGACGCCAGUCUGCAUGGAGCCGACCUUGAAAUACCACCCUUUAAUGUUUGAUGUUCUAACGUUGACCCGUGAUCCGGGUUGCGGACAGUGUCUGGUGGGUAGUUUGACUGGGGCGGUCUCCUCCUAAAGAGUAACGGAGGAGCACGAAGGUUGGCUAAUCCUGGUCGGACAUCAGGAGGUUAGUGCAAUGGCAUAAGCCAGCUUGACUGCGAGCGUGACGGCGCGAGCAGGUGCGAAAGCAGGUCAUAGUGAUCCGGUGGUUCUGAAUGGAAGGGCCAUCGCUCAACGGAUAAAAGGUACUCCGGGGAUAACAGGCUGAUACCGCCCAAGAGUUCAUAUCGACGGCGGUGUUUGGCACCUCGAUGUCGGCUCAUCACAUCCUGGGGCUGAAGUAGGUCCCAAGGGUAUGGCUGUUCGCCAUUUAAAGUGGUACGCGAGCUGGGUUUAGAACGUCGUGAGACAGUUCGGUCCCUAUCUGCCGUGGGCGCUGGAGAACUGAGGGGGGCUGCUCCUAGUACGAGAGGACCGGAGUGGACGCAUCACUGGUGUUCGGGUUGUCAUGCCAAUGGCACUGCCCGGUAGCUAAAUGCGGAAGAGAUAAGUGCUGAAAGCAUCUAAGCACGAAACUUGCCCCGAGAUGAGUUCUCCCUGACCCUUUAAGGGUCCUGAAGGAACGUUGAAGACGACGACGUUGAUAGGCCGGGUGUGUAAGCGCAGCGAUGCGUUGAGCUAACCGGUACUAAUGAACCGUGAGGCUUAACCUU
Molecule: ribosomal RNA, 2902 nt
Filed under: Escherichia coli O104:H4 str. 11-4404
Lineage: Bacteria; Pseudomonadati; Pseudomonadota; Gammaproteobacteria; Enterobacterales; Enterobacteriaceae
Description: bacterial LSU rRNA
Rfam family: Bacterial large subunit ribosomal RNA
Source: RNAcentral